This 492-nucleotide ribosomal RNA is filed under the name uncultured bacterium. Its description in RNAcentral is "partial 16S ribosomal RNA". It matches the Rfam family "Bacterial small subunit ribosomal RNA", at positions 29 to 507 of the family's 1533-position model. The record is from RNAcentral.
AAUGAACGCUGGCGGCAUGCCUAACACAUGCAAGUCGAACGGCAGCACAGUAAGAGCUUGCUCCUACGGGUGGCGAGUGGCGGACGGGUGACGAAUACAUCGGAAUCCUCUUUUUCGUGGGUGAUAACGGAGGGAAACUUAUGCUAACACAGCAUAUGUCCUACGGGUGUAAGCAGGGGUUCUUCGGACUUUUCGUGAUUGUAAGAGCCGAGGUCGGAUUAGCUAGUUGGCUGGGUAAAGGCCUAGCAAAGCGACGAUCCGUAGCUGGUCUGAGAGGAUGAUCAGCCACACUGGAACUGAGACACGGUCCAGACUCCUACGGGAGGCAGCAGUAGGGAAUAUUGGACAAUGGGCGAAAGCCUGAUCCAGCAAUACCGCGUGAGUGAUGAAGGCCCUCGGGUUGUAAAGCCCUUUUGUUAGGAAAGAAAAAAAGCAGGUUUAUCCCCCGCUGUUCUGACGGUACCCAAAGAAUAAGCACCGGCUAACUUCGUG